CCUACGGGUGGCAGCAGUGAGGAAUCUUGGUCAAUGGACGAGAGUCUGAACCAGCAAAGUAGCGUGAAGGAUGACUGCCCUCUGGGUUGUAAACGUCUUUUAUAUGGGAAUAAAAUGUUCCACGUGUGGGAUUAUGUAUGUACCAUAUGAAUAAGGAUCGGCUAACUCCGUGCCAGCAGCCGCGGUAAUACGGAGGGUCCGAGCGUUAUCCGGAUUUAUUGGGUUAAAAGGGAGCGUAGGUGGAUUGUAAAGGCAGUUGUGAAAGUUGGGGUCUCAACCGUAAAAUUGCAGUUGAAACUGGCAGUCUCGAGUCCAGUAGAGGUAGGUGGAAUUCGUGGUGUAGCGGUGAAAUGCUUAGAUAUCACGAGGAACUCCGAUUGCGAAGGCAGCUCACUGGACUGCAACUGACACUGAGGCUCGAAAGUGUGGGUAUCAAACAGGAUUAGAUACCCCGGUAGUC
Molecule: ribosomal RNA, 460 nt
Filed under: uncultured bacterium
Lineage: Bacteria
Description: partial 16S ribosomal RNA
Rfam family: Bacterial small subunit ribosomal RNA
Source: RNAcentral